CCGGGUAUAAACCAGGUCAACAUAGACCGCAUCAACUCACUGCUCGCAGAGGUGAUGUUGAGGGUAGACGGAAUGAAGGUCCCCUUGCGGAAAAAGCAAGAGGAGGAGGAGCUAAUCAAGGAGCUCACGGCUGCUGCUGAUACGGCUAACAAGAAGGCAGCCGACUUUGAACUCCAAGUCAAAAACCUCCAAGCUGAUGUCAAAGCCUUGGGGGAUGCUGACAAGGAGAACACUUAGCUGCGGGCUGAGGUCAACCGGCUGAAGAAUGAGCUGGCCCAGACCCAGGCG
Long non-coding RNA from Chenopodium quinoa (quinoa), 288 nucleotides. RefSeq lists it as uncharacterized. The record is from RefSeq and is a predicted model, not a curated record. Lineage: Eukaryota; Viridiplantae; Streptophyta; Magnoliopsida; Caryophyllales; Amaranthaceae. The transcript is spliced from 3 exons.